GACGUAGGGCGCGAGCGUUGUCCGGAUUUAUUGGGCGUAAAGAGCUCGUAGGCGGCUUGUCGCGUCGAAUGUGAAAUCUCAGGGCUCAACUCUGACAUUGCAUUCGAUACGGGCAGGCUAGAGUUCGGUAGGGGAGACUGGAAUUCCUGGUGUAGCGGUGAAAUGCGCAGAUAUCAGGAGGAACACCGGUGGCGAAGGCGGGUCUCUGGGCCGAUACUGACGCUGAGGAGCGAAAGCGUGGGGAGCGAACAGGA
Molecule: ribosomal RNA, 254 nt
Filed under: uncultured bacterium
Lineage: Bacteria
Description: partial 16S ribosomal RNA
Rfam family: Bacterial small subunit ribosomal RNA
Source: RNAcentral